RNAcentral lists this ribosomal RNA (254 nucleotides) under uncultured bacterium. RNAcentral's name for it is "partial 16S ribosomal RNA". It matches the Rfam family "Bacterial small subunit ribosomal RNA", at positions 524 to 776 of the family's 1533-position model. The record is from RNAcentral.
UACGUAGGUGGCAAGCGUUGUCCGGAUUUAUUGGGCGUAAAGAGCUCGUAGGCGGUUCGAUAAGUCAGGUGUAAAAACUCCAGGCUCAACUUGGAGAGGCCACCUGAUACUGUCGUGACUAGAGUCCGGUAGAGGAGCACGGAAUUCCUGGUGUAGCGGUGAAAUGCGCAGAUAUCAGGAGGAACACCAGCGGCGAAGGCGGUGCUCUGGGCCGGAACUGACGCUGAUGCGCGACAGCGUGGGGAGCAAACAGG